RNAcentral lists this long non-coding RNA (2190 nucleotides) under Daucus carota (carrot). Its description in RNAcentral is "long non-coding RNA (DCAR_LNC002177)". The record is from RNAcentral. Lineage: Eukaryota; Viridiplantae; Streptophyta; Magnoliopsida; Apiales; Apiaceae.
UAAAGAAAUACUACAGAGCCCCUAGUUGUAGUAGGAGGAGAAAUAGACAUAACAGACAACAGAGACAUCAGAGACACACACAACAACCAAACCUAGACAAGAGAACUGAGUAACAAAACCUAAACAGAGAUACUAAACUGAGCCUUGGCUGCUAACAAGAACACUGACAAACAAGCGAAACAUUCUUUCACCCCACUAUGACUAUUGCCUCAUCCUCAGACAUAUUUGCAAUUUCAUCCUCCCAAAUGAAGUCAUAUAUUUCAAUUUCAACUUGCUCCUGACCCUAAGGCCAACCUGGAAGCCCAUUUCAUCCAUAAACUGCGCAGCGAGACCUGGACCAUGAGGAGCACCCCAUCCAGCAUCCAAAGCUUCAUCCAUCAACUCCAUUCCAUUUCAUCCAUUGGAACUUCCCUAAACCAAGGAUCCUGGGAACCCAUGCCAAGGUCAAGCUCAGCCAUGCCUACGGGCUCAAAGAACAGGAAGAGGCAAGUGAAUAGAUCCGUUCCUAGCAAGGCAAGAUAUGUAGCCACUUUGUUUCUCCUCGGAUACAUGUACUUAAUGACGCAGUUUCAUGAUACAUUCUUCUUGAGUAUCAUAAUCUGUUGGAUUAUGCUUCUUGCCCCUUGAGGCACCCCAUUGUGUUGAAAUAUCAGAGCGCCAAAUGCUUCUAGAUUAUAUGUUUAGAUGAUAAACUUUCUUGGUGACUCUUCGAAAGCGCGCCUCAUACCCAGAUGAAUAGCUUCAAGUUGCGUUAGCAAUGGAGAGAGGUGGGGAAUAAUACCCGAUAUGCUGCGAGACAUAUUUUCAUUAGCCCUCCUUAAAAUUGCACUAAUCCCUGUCGUGUUUCAAUUGGCCGUCGGAACUGGAAGAGCCGCUCCAUGGACAUUAACCUUAAAAGGAAAAAAAAAAGAAUUAUUAUUUUAAAUAAUGAAGAGGAUUAUAAGUAAUAAAUGAACUUGAUGUAUAAGUAAUUAAAAGCGUUUGUACAAUUUUAUUGAUAAAUCAAAUGAGUGUUUGAUAAUUCAUAUUUAUAAAUUAAAAAAAUAAAUUAUUAAAAUAUCUAAAAUGUUAUUAAUUUAAAUAAAAUUUAUUACACCACAAAAUUUUGAAAUUUUGUAAUAAAAUAUAAAUUACUAAACUUGAUUUUCGUCUUGUGCUUGAAAAACUAAAAAAAACAACUUCUACCUCUUCGAUCAAACAAUAUAAAAGAAGUAGAAGCAAUAUUUUAUAAAAGAAGCUGGAAGUUGGGUUGAUUAACAGCCCAUAACAUGAAUGCGUAAGUAAGAAGGGUGUUGGUGGAAAGAGGAAAGUGCAUUGAGAGAGAGGAGGUUAGAUGUCCUCUUCGCUAGCCGGCAGUGCAACUUCAAAUGCCGCUUUCUUGUCUCCUUUCCUAACUAUCUGUUUUCUUUUGUCCCCCACUCGCUUUCAUUUAUUACGUGCCUUACAUCAAACCCCCUCCUUUUUUUCUCUCGCUUACACCCCUCCAUCUCCUCUCUUAUCCCAUCAAUGCCCUACCCUUCAAUAGUAUUUAUUUCCGACUUCUCUGAAACUCGAACUCUCGAUAAUAUUAUAAACAAAAAUAUAUUCGAUAAUUACUUCGGAUAAUCAAUUCGGUUCGGCUUACGUUUUUAAAAAUUUGUCAUGCUUCUGAAGAGGUAUGAUUGAAGUCGUAUGACAAUGAUUUGAUUAUAGCAGCUGGAAACGGAUUAUUAGUAUGGUACAAAUAAAACAGAGGGGUGUGUAAAUUAAGUUAAUAUGAGGAAGCGUGGUAGCCGUGGUCUGUGGUUGAUAUAGAAAAGAAUGAGUGGGACUUGAGUAGUUGAAAGAUGAUGAAUUUGGCUAAGCAAGAACCUGAAUUAUGUGAAAUUCGUAAUUACCAUUCUCAGUUUACUGCAAAUACAGUCUUCUUCCUACUUUCCCUCCACACUAAUGAUGAUCCGUGUGGUAUUGUUCUUCCACCGCCUAUCUCAAAGUAUCAAGAGCAGCUCCGCUGGCUUAGCAAAAGGUUUUCUAAAUAUAUAUUUGUUGAAAUAUAAAUUAUUUGAUUUUUUUAACAUGUAUCUAUAAACUUUUUAUUAUAUAAUUUUUAUUUAAAAAAAUGAAUUAAAAAUAUGUGAUUAAUAUUACAAUUCAGAAAAAAAAAAUGAUUUUAGUUAUGUUGUCAAACACUUAGAAAUACGUAUCACAUCA